UACGGGGGGAGCGAGCGUUGUUCGGAUUCAUUGGGCGUAAAGGGCGCGUAGGCGGCUUGGUCAGUCCGACGUGAAAUGUACCGGUUCAACCGGGGCGCUGUGUCGGAAACUGCCGAGCUUGAGGCCGAGGGAGGAAGGUGGAAUUCCUGGUGUAGCGGUGAAAUGCGUAGAUAUCAGGAGGAACACCCGUGGCGAAGGCGACCUUCUAUCUCGGAUCUGACGCUGAGGCGCGAAAGCCAGGGGAGCAAACGGG
Molecule: ribosomal RNA, 253 nt
Filed under: uncultured bacterium
Lineage: Bacteria
Description: partial 16S ribosomal RNA
Rfam family: Bacterial small subunit ribosomal RNA
Source: RNAcentral